This 437-nucleotide ribosomal RNA is filed under the name uncultured bacterium. Its description in RNAcentral is "bacterial SSU rRNA". It matches the Rfam family "Bacterial small subunit ribosomal RNA", at positions 343 to 798 of the family's 1533-position model. The record is from RNAcentral.
GGGAGGCAGCAGUUAGGAAUCUUGCGCAAUGGCCGAAAGGCUGACGCAGCAACGCCGCGUGGGGGACGAAGGUCUUCGGAUCGUAAACCUCUUUUCCAGGGGAAGAUAGUGACGGUACCCUGGGAAUAAGCCCCGGCUAACUACGUGCCAGCAGCCGCGGUAAUACGUAGGGGGCGAGCGUUGUCCGGAUUUACUGGGCGUAAAGAGCGCGUAGGCGGCUCGCCGAGUCGUGCGUGAAAUACCCCGGCUCAACCGGGGGGAGUCGUGCGAUACUGGCGGGCUAGAGGUCGGAAGGGGGAAGUGGAAUUCCCGGUGUAGUGGUGGAAUGCGUAGAUAUCGGGAGGAACACCAGUGGCGAAGGCGGCUUCCUGGUCCGAUCCUGACGCUGAGGCGCGAAAGCGUGGGGAGCGAACUGGAUUAGAUACCCUGGUAGUCAC